GAGUUUGAUCCUGGCUCAGAACGAACGCUGGCGGCAGGCUUAACACAUGCAAGUCGAACGCUCGUAGCAAUACGGGAGUGGCAGACGGGUGAGUAACGCGUGGGAACAUACCCUCCGGUUCGGAAUAGCUCAGGGAAACUUGGAUUAAUACCGGAUACGGCUGAGAGGCGAAAGAUUUAUCGCCGGAGGAUUGGCCCGCGUUCGAUUAGCUUGUUGGUGAGGUAAUGGCUCACCAAGGCGAUGAUCGAUAGCUGGUCUGAGAGGAUGAUCAGCCACAUUGGGACUGAGACACGGCCCAAACUCCUACGGGAGGCAGCAGUGGGGAAUAUUGGACAAUGGGCGCAAGCCUGAUCCAGCCAUGCCGCGUGAGUGAUGACGGCCUUAGGGUUGUAAAGCUCUUUCGCUCGGGACGAUAAUGACGGUACCGAGAUAAGAAGCCCCGGCUAACUUCGUGCCAGCAGCCGCGGUAAUGCCCAAUCGCC
RNAcentral lists this ribosomal RNA (482 nucleotides) under uncultured bacterium. RNAcentral describes it as "bacterial SSU rRNA". It matches the Rfam family "Bacterial small subunit ribosomal RNA", at positions 9 to 535 of the family's 1533-position model. The record is from RNAcentral.